This 253-nucleotide ribosomal RNA is filed under the name uncultured bacterium. Its description in RNAcentral is "partial 16S ribosomal RNA". It matches the Rfam family "Bacterial small subunit ribosomal RNA", at positions 524 to 776 of the family's 1533-position model. The record is from RNAcentral.
UACGGAGGGUGCGAGCGUUAUCCGGAUUCACUGGGUUUAAAGGGUGCGUAGGUGGGUUUGUAAGUCAGUGGUGAAAUCUCCAAGCUUAACUUGGAAACUGCCAUUGAUACUAUAGAUCUUGAAUUUCCGGAGGUCAGCUGGAAUAUGUCAUGUAGCGGUGAAAUGCUUAGAUAUGACAUAGAACACCGAUUGCGAAGGCAGCUGGCUACAGGAAUAUUGACACUGAGGCACGAAAGCGUGGGGAUCAAACAGG